CUCUCUGAAUCUGCGAACGGCUCCGCAAACCAGUUGUAAACCAAAGCAAGCAUACUCGGGGACUGCCCUUCACGGGGUGGGCUCGGGUGAUACGGAUAACCCUGGUAAUUCUGAGGCUAAUACGAGACUAUAAUCCCUGGCGGACCGGGCAACUGGGAAGCUGGGGGGCGCGCGAUCUAUUUGCAAGACGAUACCAGGAGGGGGUGCACGCUCUGACCGCGAUAAAGACGGUUCCGGUAAACCUUCGGGCGAGCUGGUUCCGAGCGGCUCUUGCGAUGUGCUUCUGACCUAUCAACUAGAUGGCAGCGUAACGGACAUGCCAUGGUUACAACGGGUACAGAGGAUUAGGGUUCGAUCCUGGAGAGUGGGCCUGAGAGAUU
RNAcentral lists this ribosomal RNA (380 nucleotides) under uncultured myxomycete. RNAcentral's name for it is "SSU rRNA". It matches the Rfam family "Eukaryotic small subunit ribosomal RNA", at positions 77 to 405 of the family's 1831-position model. The record is from RNAcentral. Lineage: Eukaryota; Evosea; Eumycetozoa.